This 254-nucleotide ribosomal RNA is filed under the name uncultured bacterium. RNAcentral's name for it is "partial 16S ribosomal RNA". It matches the Rfam family "Bacterial small subunit ribosomal RNA", at positions 524 to 776 of the family's 1533-position model. The record is from RNAcentral.
UACGUAGGGGGCAAGCGUUGUCCGGAAUCAUUGGGCGUAAAGGGCGCGUAGGCGGUCAGCACAAGUCAGUUGUGAAAUCUCCGGGCUUAACUCGGAAAGGUCAACUGAUACUGUGCGACUAGAGUGCAGAAGGGGCAACUGGAAUUCUCGGUGUAGCGGUGAAAUGCGUAGAUAUCGAGAGGAACACCUGCGGCGAAGGCGGGUUGCUGGGCUGACACUGACGCUGAUGCGCGAAAGCCAGGGGAGCGAACGGG